RNAcentral lists this ribosomal RNA (3191 nucleotides) under Triticum aestivum (bread wheat). RNAcentral describes it as "partial small subunit ribosomal RNA". The record is from RNAcentral. Lineage: Eukaryota; Viridiplantae; Streptophyta; Magnoliopsida; Poales; Poaceae.
UCACCACCACUGAUCGUAUCUUCCGCCUCCUCCAGUAACCUCGGCCGAAGGGAAGGCGAAACCGACGGUUCGAGGCGCGCAACCACUCAGGGAGAGAGAUAGGGAGAUGUAGAGAGGGAGAGAGACAGUCUCCCGUCGAUGGUUGGGGCUCCACGUCCGCCGGUACCUUUUCGUCUUCUACGGUGUGGAUCGAAAGGGGGAACGGAGGACGGGAAAGAGAAGUCGAGUAAAUAAAUGUACACGUUUAAGAGAAAAUAGAUACGGACGUUCCACAAACUACUUUCAAGUCAUUCCGAAACUCCCUUAUGGUUUGUUCUCUCCUAGGUCAUAGACAUUGUACGUAGUCCAACUGUGGUUGAAGUACGUAAAACGAAGUUCUAGUAACAAUUAAAUUAAGUUUUACAAAAGAGUAAGAUAACCUUCUAUCUUUCCUACCAACAUCUUUCUAUUGACAAGAUGAACCUAUGGAAAGAAACAAGAGCAAACGUAAAUUCAUUUUUACAAGUUGACGUCUAUAUCUAACGGCCGCCCACCUAUAUAACGAGUUUUCUACAGUGAUCACGACAUGACGACAUCUACGGUAACUAAAGUAUAUAGUUUCGUAAUGUCGAGAAAGUCUAGGAAACAUAAAGGUGAAUCAAUCGAACUUUUAGAACAGAUGAUGCCUGUGGAGAACUUUUAACGUUUCCUCAAGAUUGAGGGUUGUUCGAAUAAAGGAAUUUUUUACAUUGACCAUGUUACAAGAUGCAUGGAAUACUCUCCAGUCGGGGCCGUAGUGUCAGGUAAGGACUUCUUCAAGUGUACGUACCACAACUAACAACUCAAACGAACCAAUUGCCUUACUGUACGGAUACGUCUAGUCGUCCCCCUUCCAGGUCCCACUUUGGAAGUCCUCCCUAAACUACAACGAUAACAAAGUCAAACGUCUAUCUCCUACACUAAGGUCGUUCUGUCUCUGCUACCGCUACUGUUCACUCUAAAUACAAUUCCUCAUAAUCGUAUACGAGUGUCCUAGUGACCUUCAAAUAUUUACAUAGGCGUUACUAACAACGAAAGAAUAACUGUGUAUUAACUUAAUAUUAAUAUCUGUCAUUCUCAUCAACAGAAAAGUAAACAAUCUUUUGUAUCACAUGGAAAUAUUAGCAUCAAUAUACGUUACUAGGUAGUACAUAAAAACAAAUUUUGACGUUGGGCAUUAACAAACUACAGUAAUUUACAGAGAGAGAGAGAGAGAGAUAUAUAUAUAUAUAUAUAUAUAUAUAUAUAUCAAAUGCAAGAAUUUAAUCGGAGGUAUGAUAGACGUAACAGUACCAUUGGAACCAUCCAGUAUUAUACAUCUAGGUAUUAGGGCCAAGUUAAACUCGAAAGGUACACUAAAAAAUGGACUUAUAAUCCUAGUGUUGAAUUAAUUGAAUUUAAUCGUCAUAUCACAGUUACCUGCAGUAGACUUCGAUUAUUCUACAACAAAUAACUUCUUGUCGGGGAACGAUGAACGUGUCAUGUACUUUUCGUGUGAUUUAUCUAAUUUCUUUAGUAUGAACUGACACUAACGUAAACCAACUACGAAUGCACAUAAAGAGUACCCAUAUGGUUCCCCCGUUAGAAGAUAUAAAGUCCAGGUUUCGAAAGUUACGUAAAAAAAUAGACAAAAAGUACAGGGUUACUAGUAGACGUUCAGGCUUAAUACGGUAACAACUACCACGUGUCCAUACAACGUACCACUUGGGUCAUAACCGGGAGGAAAGUUCGAGGACACAAGUAGGAUCUAUUUUAAGACCUUUUAUGCAGCCUUGAUAGAAAAUUAGAAGGUUGUCACAUAACGAUACUAAUAUAUAUACCUAUGUAGUAUAGCUACACAGAUCUCUGGAUUUCGGAAUUCUCAAUUCACGGUUUGACCCCUGACUAUAAUAUUGACGUCUACCCGAAAUAAGUCCAUAAAAGAACGGUAUUUACUACUACAAACGUCUACCCGAAACAAGUCAGUAUUCUCGAAUAGUCAAGUCGGACGUAUGAAAACAAAGAAGUCACAUGACACAGACUCCUUUCGUAAAUAAAACAGAGGACAAAUUCACUUAAGUACCGAUUCUACCUGCUUAAAGAUAAUACACCCGACCUCCAAGAACUCAAUCCCGUGAUCGUGAUCGAUUCGAAGGUAAGACCAUUUUACAUACUGUACGAACUACUCGUACGUAUAGAUAUACCAAAACACCUGUGACUAAAUCAAGGUACGAUCAAAUAAAGGUCGUCAACCAGACGAAGAAGUAUCUCUAAAAUAAUCAUGAUUUAAUUUAAUCUUUGACUUACACACGAAGAAAGUGGAAGUCAGACUUGUACUGUAACGGAAUAAACACUGUGUCCACCUUUAAUCGUUCGUUCUAUGUCAGCCACGUACCUACUGGUUCUAAUGAAUAAUGAAAUACUUCUACUACUAAGGACGUACAACUAACACGAAGUUCCCAUCUUCUCCUACCCUCCUCCCCUGUGCGCGAGAUAUAAAACAAUACGUGUGGAAAGAUUUGAUAUGAACAGAAGAAUUGUGUACAAGUAACAGGUCAUCUUCGACAUCUAAAGUCGCAUGUUAUUAAAGGUUUUACCGUCUUCCAGAGACGCGGUAAACCGGUAAACCAGAAAGAGGACAGCGGUCGCGAAGAAGAAGAGCAGACAGGACGACGAUUGGGUUGUACGAAGACGAACGACGGAGCCCAACAUGCUAGAGAAGACAGCGACGCAGCAAGCUGAGUAGUUCCUGUUGCCACUCUUCCCCGAGAACUCCGCCGACGUGAGCCAGGGGGGGACGUCGGUGUGUGGUGUAGCAGGCUGGUACAACCACUUUAAACGUCUUGACUGCCGAAGCGUCAUUCUGAUACCUACCGACGAUCCAAAACCAUUACCACUCCUGUCCACGACGGCUUCUAUUAAGCUCCAAAGAGCCUUUUAGGUCCCCUGUUACAGUAUCACGACUGUAACCCCUGCUCAAAACUAUGAAGCCCUCUUCGGAUACUGAAAAUGUUGGACACGAAAACCCUAUUCGCUAAGCCGUAAUCAUCCUUCUGACUUUCUGUCAAUUACCCUUUUAAUAACCACACUAACUUAUUCAUCAAAGUACCAAGACUACAGACUACAUACUAAUCUCGUAAAAGAGAAUACCACAUGACUUAAUAAUUUCUAACACACACUUAACAAUUCUACGU